Long non-coding RNA from Fukomys damarensis (Damara mole-rat), 5780 nucleotides. RefSeq lists it as uncharacterized. The record is from RefSeq and is a predicted model, not a curated record. NCBI's taxonomy places the organism in Eukaryota, Metazoa, Chordata, Mammalia, Rodentia, Bathyergidae. The transcript is spliced from 3 exons.
CCUGAGAUGGCGAGGCAGGGUUUGAAUCUCCGGUGCGGAGCAUCACCCACUGAACAUUUCUCCUGGGCUCCGUCCCUUCUGGGUCUGGACAGGAGUCUCCUCUGGGUUCUUGAUGUCCUGAGUGAAGAAGUGAGAGGACACUCAAAAGGAGCAGCACGAUUAGAGACCUGCCGCGUGGGCAAGCACAGUCUGUGGGAUGGGAGCAAGCCAGUGAGAGUCUCCUGGAGGCUAGCGGGUCGGUCCAGAGCUUUGGGGGGACAUCCAGACACAAGCCGUAACGUGAAUUAGAAAAGCCCCACUUUGAUACCACCAUGGACCCCAAGGUUCAAAUGAAGCCUUCAUGAAAACCUCAGGACCAAAGCAGACAGGGCCACCCUGAGUCAGGCUCACUUUUGGACUCAGGUAUUGGCUCUUUCCUGCUCUGCAGAGAGUUCUUUCACUUUAAGAAACCUGUGCUUUUCUUGCUACUUCUGUCGGAUAUCCAGUGGGACAGAGACUACCUAUCCAGUCAAAGUCAAACCCUCAUCUCAGGGAAGAGGGGAACCCAGGCCUGUGGGACCGAGAGGGGGCCCGACAUUGUCCUGCAGGGAUUUGGGAUGAGGCCAUUGAUAUCACGGCCAGGACUUUCUCACACCUUGGCUAUCGAUGUACACAUUUUACCUCGACAAUAACAAGAAGCAAGUAGGGGAAUGCAGUUAUUAAAUACAUGCAGAAAAAGUGAUUGUGCAGCAGCAACAUUCUACAAGGAAUCCAGGGAGAAAAUAAGCCAACGUUUGAACUGGCUUAUACAAGCAGCCUGGUUCACACAAGGUCACAAGGAAAACCGAACCCAUCUGCACAGACGAGCUGAUGAAAGUGGAGCCUGGAGUAGACUGCUCCCUAGAGCUGAGGUAGGGAUACCUGAGGACUUAACUCUGACCCCAAGCCUGUGUGGAAACUUCCUUCCUUCAGUGCCCUGAGAGUCACAUGAGGGACAUUGUCUCCUGGAGUUAGUAGAGCAAACAUCUCAAAUCACAUUGUUCUAACUGGUGCUUGCUGUGUUCUUCCAUAAAGUACAAGAGGAAAAUGCCAAGAGAGUUCGUAUGGACUUUAAAACUGGCAAAUUAUUAAUACCUUUGAGAAGAAAAAGAUGGCAGCACGCUCUUGUGAGGUGACUUGGCAAGGUCAGAGGAAACAACUAGUCAAGUGAAGUCUCCGCGUUCUAACCUCCACAGGCUCCCCUGACCGUCACAGUUCACAGUUGCCUGGGAAUCAAAAUGUCUCCUGCCAUCACAGUCGUGCCAAGGCAGUCACACAAGGCCCUGGUGUGGCGGAAUCCUAAACCCUGUGUAAAGAGCAUCCCUUUAGAGUGCUGCAAGUCUCCCCGGGAUGUACCCAUCUGAGAGUCUCAGAUCUCCCGAUUUAAACGGUUCAUUUAAAAUCCUUCUCAGGAUAGAUUAUGAGAUCGUGGGUGAGGACCAGCUCCGUGUCACUUGCUUCUGUUCCCCCUAACGUAUCGCGUCACCUGCUCAUUCAGGGCCCACGGAAUAUUCUCCACUGACCAUCAGCUGCGGUAACGCUGGGGGGAGGGUUCCCAGCGCAGCCCGGAGAAAUCCACACCCCAGUGAAGAUGUGCAGGUGUUCAGGUCCUUCUGACAAAAGGGACCUGCCUUGUCUUCAUCUCUCUGGAAAAAGCUCAGAGGAGGGUUUUGGAAGAUUUCAUUGUGUGUGGAAUAACAAGUGAGAACAAAACUAUUCAAAUUUGCUUUUACUCUUUUAUGACUUAAUACAUUGUUAAGGAAGCAAUAAAACCAAUGGUACAGCGAUAUUUCCAUGAUUCUGAAACAGUGAAAAAAAAAAAAAAAGACUGCACAUAGCAGUAUGGUUAACAAAAAAAGUAAGAAGACCUGCUGGGUAGGUGACGUUUGAGAUGGGACCUUAGUUAUAUAUUAAUUUAAAAGGGCAGGGCCUAAGAUUUAAAGAGUGUGGCAGCAUAGGAAUUACAGGAAAUCUGUCAUUCCACCUGGACAACAAUUUUGCUGGUAGAGUCUGAUAUAGGUAUAUGAGGGUUCAAGUUUCUGAUGGCCUUCCAUUUCCAGAGAAAGGUUUAAAUAGCAAAUUAAACCUAAUUUUCGUAAAUUCCAAAUAGUCACAAUUUCCCACCCGCGUUCCCAGUUGCAUCGAAGACACCAACAAAUGACCUCCAGGAACAGCUUGCCGGUAGCUGAUGGAUUCAGGUUAGGCAGAAAGAACCGUGUCAUGCUGAGCCUGCUGGCCCGUGCCCGCAAUCUCAGCUGCUCGCCUGCUCAUUCAGCUGUGGCAUUCAGGAAGCUGAGGCAUGAGAAUUAUGAGUUUGAAGCCUGUCUGGGCAAUUUAGGGAGACCUGGUCUCAAAUAAGAGGGGCUGGUGGUACAGCUCAGUGGUGGAGCCCUUGCUGCACUACACCCUAGAUACAGUCCUCAGAGACACACACACACAUGCCCUGUCCUGCAGGAUGGUAAGCUGUACUCCUAAUUGUUACCAAUGAGGAGUUCUUAUUUGCUGCUCCUCUUCCCAUUGGUAGAAAUCCUGUGCUUUCCACCUAUGUGAUUUUCAGAGAAAUGAACAUGCUGGUCACUUUCAGUUUAUUCUUUCAUUCUCAUUACCACCCAGUAUUACUGAGGUUUGAAUCCAGGGUGCUCUGAGUUACAUCCCAACCUCUCCCUAUUUUAUUUUGAAAUAGAAGCUCACUAAGUCACUCAUGCUGGCCUUAAGCAACCUUCUCCGGCCUCCCAAGUAGGUACUAAGCAUGGGGCACCCACUUUCAUUUUUCUGUUUCUCUUUUUGGGAUUCAGACACAAGGACUAGUAAAUGUAAAACUACCCGCAUACAUUGGGGAAAUUAGGAAGUUAGCUCACAUGUCCAGAGCAAGGCACAGCUAAGAAUGUUCCUAGGUACAGAGAUGCUCCAUGACAAUAAAGAAUUGAAUAAAAGCCUUACAAGUAAAUUAGAUACAGUGGCACACACUUGCAGUUCAGCUACUUGGGAGGCUGAGGCAGGUGGAUAACAAGGUCUUGCAGUGUCCGUGUCAACAGACGUGUAAGCCCCUCAUCUUGAAGUCACUUAUAUAAUGUAAUAACACCUGCACAUACAAUGUAUUGUAACCUUGACGUGUACUUAAUAUUAAAAUUAUUGUUGGAAUAUUACACAGUCAUGUUUUCAUACAAAAUUUUGAAACUUUGAACUAGCUAGCUUUCAAAUGCUCAGUUGACACAGGAAAGCAUCUAAUAAUUUGGUGACUUAUGCUUCCUUUAAAAUUGAGUGCCUUUAUUUUUUGUUUUAAGUUUAUAAUAGUUAAGGUGAAAUGUAGUUCCACUUUUCCCUCUUCUCAUCUCCUUCAUCUGCUUCAAAUUUGCCUAUCACAAUUCAGGAGCCAAUAUUGACGUAUGGGCGUUACAGACCAAGUUUAUCGUAGCUUUCACUAUUUGUGCUGAACAUUGUUUAGAUUUUGGCAAAUACAAAAUGUAUUCAGUCGUUGCAGAAUGAUAGGUAAUCGCUUCUCCUGCUUUGAAGACUCCACAGUCCUGCAGUAAGGUCUGCCCAUAUGACCCCCGCUCACAGUAUCUAGUGUGGAAAAUAUAAACGUGUAUUCCAGUUUUAUUCACUGAAUCUAGGUAAACAGAAUAACUUACUACAUAGCCCUGUACUGUCGUACGAGUAUGAGAAGGGGUCGAGGCUGUAGGUGUAGACACGGGUCGCCACAACCUGUUAAACAGAGGGGUCUGCGUGCUUGGAAGAACUGACAGUGGGAAGAGGGUUAAAGUUCAGAGCUCAGGAAUGCGAUGUAUUUCUGUACGGACCCAGGGUAGCUAGUUGGGAAUUUCCGGACUCAGUGGAAGUGCAGGUUCCCCGGGGACGGCGAGCGGAGGGGGCUGGGAGACAGCUCACAGCCGCAGGGUGCAGACAGCCACGGCACUGCAGGGACUGGGCUGUGGCUGCAGUGAGCCCUGCCUUUGUAAGGCUGCCAAUCCCUGCCUUGAGCGUUUGAGGACAGGGUGCUCACUGCCCACACCUGAACAUGGGCAGUCCCUGCUGAUUCAGAACUCCCAGCGCUGACUCGCCCGGUGCAGUCCCCUUGUGUCAUCCCCAAUGCCAGUGGCCUGUUGCCCUUGGCUCGAGACAAAACCUUCAGAAGAUGAGGCUUCUGGAAGCUCGUUAUACUUGGACUUGGAUAGAAUAAUGGUGCCUGGAGGUGCCGAAGUUGAACUUCGAUCAUUUCCUAACUUUUGUUUUUCGCUUGGACACCGGCUCCCAGGUGCAGAGCUGUGCAGGAAAUGGAGAAUUCCUCCAGGGGCAUGGAGCAGGCCAAACUCAAAGGAGUCAGUCACGAAAGCCUCCGUCCCUGUCCAACCGUAAUGCACACUCAGGGUGAGCUGAGUGCAUUUGCCUGGCUGCCGCUGCAAGUGCCCCUUCUCUCAGACCACCAGCUUUGCGUACAUUUCUAGGGUGUUCCCCUUGAUUGCCAUCAUCUUCUCCCUGCAGCUUCUGCUUCUAGUUUGUUCUGUAGCUAGCAAAGACUGCCUUCUCAGAAGGAGCACCAGGGUGUGGGAGGAUGGAGCUGUGAUGAUCUGGGGUCUUUUUCCCUUUUUUUCCCUGUACAUAUCACUGGCACUCGUAACGUGAAGCCUGCCAAGGACUUCGCUGUCAUGCAGAGUCUUUUUCAUUUAUUCAUUUUCUGCUUUAUUAUCAGGGUUGAUCAUUCUGAAGCUGUCUGUGUGCAGAAAGCACAAUGCCCUCUGGUUCCCUAUCCUGUCCUCACCGUGCACACCUCCAUAGAUCUGUGCACAGUUUAUUGUAGGUAUCACAGAAACAAUGACUGCCGAUGAUUUUUGUCAGAUGGGAGGAUUGCAAGUGUUGUCUUGGAAGCUGCCCACAUUUGGGAGCUGAGCUUUCAGGGUUAAGAAUGGAGGCAUCUUUGUAACAUAGAAAAUCUCUGUGUUCACCUCAUAUUCCUUCCUGUGUACUUGUUGUUUGCUUAUCAUUUUUGUUUCUAGAUAGUUUCCUGCCUUGUUCUGUUGCAUAGGUUGGCAGCGAUGUCUUGGGCUCUAGCAGUCAUCUUACCUCACUCAGUCUCCCAGUAUGCUGUCCACGCAAGAUGUGUCCCUACACCUGGCACGCCCUUCUCCCCAUAGUUGCCCAGAACGUUUCAUGCUGUUUGUGUAGUGUACAGACUAAUUCUGAUGGUUGCUGCUGACUCUUGUUUCUUAGCCAGAGGUCUGCAGGAUUGAAUGGUUGAGGUCAGGGAUCUUUUGAAACGUGCCAAAGAAAAACUUCCUCAUGGCACUUUUUGCACAUGAAGAACGGUUGUGUCUAAUCAGGGCACAGCCCUCAUUAUAGGGAUCACUGCAAUGAGGGUUGGCCCUGGGAAGUGGGAAUGAGGUGGAUUAUGAGCUCCUUGAGAUGGUGGGAGUUUGCAACCGAAGAGCAGGACAGCAGUCCUGGACGGGGCAUUACUGCGGGGGCAACAUCAGGUUAAAGAGGGAUUCUAGUUCGAGACAGCAUAGAGUGAUCGGACUCCAGCUGGGCAGGAGAAAGGACGAGGAACUGCUCGGAUAUGAAAUGCGAGCAGAUUUCCAGGAUAUUUCAGUGACUCCAAAGGGAGACUUUAUUUUUGUUCUUCAGAGGAGAGAAGCUGUCUCCUCUUUUACUUUUAAAGCAAAACAUUUAUUGGCACAUUUCAGAUUUACAUAAUGACAACAUUCGUCAUAGGGAAUUUGUGCCUGAACGUGAUAUAUCUUGCUUCCUACUGUUUUUCUCAUCCC